CAUGAGUUUGAUCCUGGCUCAGGAUGAACGCUGGCGGCGUGCCUAAUACAUGCAAGUCGAGCGAAUGGAUUAAGAGCUUGCUCUUAUGAAGUUAGCGGCGGACGGGUGAGUAACACGUGGGUAACCUGCCCAUAAGACUGGGAUAACUCCGGGAAACCGGGGCUAAUACCGGAUAACAUUUUGAACCGCAUGGUUCGAAAUUGAAAGGCGGCUUCGGCUGUCACUUAUGGAUGGACCCGCGUCGCAUUAGCUAGUUGGUGAGGUAACGGCUCACCAAGGCAACGAUGCGUAGCCGACCUGAGAGGGUGAUCGGGCCACACUGGGGACUGAGACACGGGCCCAGACUCCUACGGGGAGGCAGCAGUAGGGGAAUCUUCGCAAUGGACCGAAAGUCUGACGGAGCAACGCCGCGUGAGUGAUGAAGGCUUUACGGGGUCGUAAAA
Molecule: ribosomal RNA, 443 nt
Filed under: uncultured Bacillus sp.
Lineage: Bacteria; Bacillati; Bacillota; Bacilli; Caryophanales; Bacillaceae
Description: bacterial SSU rRNA
Rfam family: Bacterial small subunit ribosomal RNA
Source: RNAcentral